CUCCAGGAGAACAGGGACUUUGGUCUGCUUUGUUCAUUAUACCCAACUCUGAGCUUAGAACUUAUGUCAUAGUAGGUUUUCAGUAAAUAACUGUUGAUGGAAAGGUGAAUCCUCUUUGUAUCUCCAAGGAGAUCGUGGAGUCUCCUGCAUCUUUUCAAUGCCUGGUACAAAGAUUGCAGGUUAGGACUUCAGAGCAAGUGUCAGCUGGAUGGUCUUUCAGUUCCACGCAGUAUUAACUGAAGUCACACAGAAAUGUAUCUGGCGAAGGUGGAUGACCUAGUCUAGAGGGUCUCAAGUGGCUUCACCAAAGUCACAGUCCAUUCACUUAUGAAUUUGGGGAGAACACAAACACUGAGACCACAGCAACCCAGCCUGAGCCUUGCAGGGAUGAUGGGAAGUCAGGGCUCAGCUGGGGCUAUCAGAGCUGCUCCCCAGGCUGCCUCAUCACAGUGGUUUCAGGAAGGCAGACUUACAUGGAGGCCCGGGCUCCAAAAAUCUCCAGAUCCAAGGCCUGUGACAGCCCCUGAGGAUCCAGAAUGUAACUUUCACAACAUUUUAUUGUUCAGGCCAGCCCAGAGUCAAAGGAAUUAUACUCUGCCUCUCAGUGGGGGAAACAGCAAAGAAUUUCCAGACUUCAUGGAUCUACCACAGUUUUUCUAUAUAAGAAAAGACAAUGCCAAUACACCCUUGUUUAUAGCAGUACAAUUUGUAAUAGCUAAAUCUUGGAAACAACCCAAAUGCCCAUCAAUGGAUGGACAAAGAAGAUUUUUUAUAUAUAUACAAUGAAGUACUACUCUAUCAUAAAGCAAGAUAAACUUGAGACAUUUCUAGGUAAAUGGAUGCACCUUGAGACCAUACUCUUAAAUGAAAUGAAUCAAACACUCAUGUUUAAGUAUCGCAUUGUUUCUCUGGUGUGAGAAACCAAAAGGGUAAAUAAAGACCAAAAUGUAUAACAGAUAUUGGAAAAUAGGAAGAAAAUGUUCAAAUGGGAAGGAGAACAAUGGAGAGGGG
This 1011-nucleotide long non-coding RNA is filed under the name Heterocephalus glaber (naked mole-rat). RNAcentral's name for it is "lncRNA (ENSHGLG00000040717.1)". Lineage: Eukaryota; Metazoa; Chordata; Mammalia; Rodentia; Bathyergidae. The record is from RNAcentral.